This 427-nucleotide ribosomal RNA is filed under the name uncultured bacterium. RNAcentral's name for it is "partial 16S ribosomal RNA". It matches the Rfam family "Bacterial small subunit ribosomal RNA", at positions 355 to 774 of the family's 1533-position model. The record is from RNAcentral.
UGGGGAAUAUUGGACAAUGGGCGAAAGCCUGAUCCAGCCAUGCCGCGUGUGUGAAGAAGGUCUUCGGAUUGUAAAGCACUUUAAGUUGGGAGGAAGGGCAUUAACCUAAUACGUUAGUGUUUUGACGUUACCGACAGAAUAAGCACCGGCUAACUCUGUGCCAGCAGCCGCGGUAAUACAGAGGGUGCAAGCGUUAAUCGGAAUUACUGGGCGUAAAGCGCGCGUAGGGGGUUUGUUAAGUUGGAUGUGAAAUCCCCGGGCUCAACCUGGGAACUGCAUUCAAAACUGACUGACUAGAGUAUGGUAGAGGGUGGUGGAAUUUCCUGUGUAGCGGUGAAAUGCGUAGAUAUAGGAAGGAACACCAGUGGCGAAGGCGACCACCUGGACUAAUACUGACACGGAGGUGCGAAAGCGUGGGGAGCAAACA